RNAcentral lists this ribosomal RNA (23 nucleotides) under Malbranchea conjugata. RNAcentral's name for it is "Auxarthron conjugatum partial 28S ribosomal RNA". The record is from RNAcentral. Lineage: Eukaryota; Fungi; Ascomycota; Eurotiomycetes; Onygenales; Malbrancheaceae.
ACCGGUUGACCUCGGAUCAGGUA